ACACGAUAAUAGCAAACCUGCUGAAAAGCAGGGGCGCAAAGCUAUAGGGUCUAAUGUUCGCAAGAACGAUGACAGCCUGGCCGCCGAA
RNAcentral lists this non-coding RNA (88 nucleotides) under Cohnella sp. RNAcentral describes it as "c-di-GMP sequence". It matches the Rfam family "c-di-GMP-I riboswitch aptamer". Rfam says of the family: GEMM was predicted in a large-scale screen for bacterial structured RNA regulatory elements. Lineage: Bacteria; Bacillati; Bacillota; Bacilli; Caryophanales; Paenibacillaceae. The record is from RNAcentral.